ACUGCCCCUAGAGGCAUUGCAGUGCAGCUGUUAGUAGGGCAUUAGGUGGCAGAGGGUCAGUGGGCUUCAUCUGCACCAGCUACCUGCUCAGGUUGCUCAGGUUGAUUGCAGCACCAGCAAA
This is a small nucleolar RNA of Myripristis murdjan (pinecone soldierfish), 121 nucleotides long. Ensembl annotates it as small nucleolar RNA SNORA17. The record is from Ensembl. NCBI's taxonomy places the organism in Eukaryota, Metazoa, Chordata, Actinopteri, Holocentriformes, Holocentridae.